AUGAAGGACGCUGCUGUGAGCCAUGCCACUCCAUCAGCAAGCGUUGAAGUGGACGCUCCCGAGACCAACCUAAGCAAGGAAGAUUCCCGCUCAUCUGACACUGAUUCCAAGCGCGUGCGUGGUGGCACUCGUAUGUCCAUGACAGAAGUGGCUGAGGUGGCAGUUCAUAAUGAUGUGCCAUCUGCAGGUGAGAGUCUUGGCACAACAGCUUCAGCUCCUGUCGGUGUAGAUACUGCUAAGGCGACUGUUUCGCGUGCUGGUCUUCCACCGAGGCGUCGUAGCCCCCGCAAGCAAUCAACAGACAUACCCAACGCACCAGCUGUAGCUAGGAGCAACAGAGAUGAGUCUGGUUAUGUUCCCGCGUCCACACUGUUCCCGCCACCUACCAAAAGCAAUGUGAUGGAGAAACCGGAAGACCGGAGAACAACUGAUGCAGGUGUCAAGCCGGGCACGAGUGACGCAUGUGAACAUCCGGAGCAGACUGCGCCUUUACCCGCAGUGGAAAUCCCCAGCUUAAAUCUGCGCACUUCCAGGCUCCCAGUCAAUGUUGGUGUCCCCUACAGCCCAAACAAGAAGAUUGUCAAGGAAGUUGCGGCUGAUACCGCUGACAACACGUCCCGCCCUACAAAUAAGCCCGAUCAUUCUGUAGCGGCCGAUUCAGAUAUGUUUGUUGAUCUUUCACCCUUGGAUUCUGCCCCGCAAGUUGUUCGCGGUCCGGCCAGUAGGCAUGAGAGGCACCCAAUGGCCUUCACCCCACCCAGCUUCAGCCUUGGCAUCAGUCAAGAUCAACCAGUGGUGGCAGAUCCUAUGCCAGUUGCCUUUGCUUUCCCGAGAGGCAUGCCCGCAAUGAUGGCGCAGCCAAUGGUCGAGGGCAGGAAGGCUGUCAAGUUCGCAGAGCCGAUCGUCCAAGGAUCGAGGAGGCAGCAUUACAGAGGAGGUCCUCACGAGGUCGGGGGCAAUCAAGUUCUAAUGUGCCUGCAGAUACAAUAUCUGAGGAUACCAUUAGGAGUGCCACCCCUAGUUCUGUGA
This 1029-nucleotide ribosomal RNA is filed under the name Triticum aestivum (bread wheat). RNAcentral describes it as "partial small subunit ribosomal RNA". The record is from RNAcentral. Lineage: Eukaryota; Viridiplantae; Streptophyta; Magnoliopsida; Poales; Poaceae.